This is a transfer RNA of Trichophyton rubrum CBS 118892, 72 nucleotides long. It matches the Rfam family "tRNA". Rfam says of the family: Transfer RNA (tRNA) molecules are approximately 80 nucleotides in length. NCBI's taxonomy places the organism in Eukaryota, Fungi, Ascomycota, Eurotiomycetes, Onygenales, Arthrodermataceae. The record is from Rfam.
AACAUGUUAGUUUAAGGGUUAGAAUACCGUGUUACGGCCACGAUGAUAUAAGUUCAAAUCUUAUACAUGUUG